Molecule: non-coding RNA, 118 nt
Submitted as: unclassified sequences
Source: Rfam
AGCUCCCUCGAAUCCAUAAGAACCCCCGUCCUGAUGUGGCAACGAUGAGAACCUAAGUGGUAAGGUACUAGAUAACGGCAGACCGAGGCUAGUUCGCAACACAGCGAAAAUCGUCGUA